This is a long non-coding RNA of Carassius auratus (goldfish), 4371 nucleotides long. Lineage: Eukaryota; Metazoa; Chordata; Actinopteri; Cypriniformes; Cyprinidae. The record is from Ensembl.
AUGGCGGAGCAGGAGACUGGGGAGGUCAUGGUGGGGCAGGAGACUGGGGAGGUCAUGGUGGGGCAGGAGACUGGGGAGGCCAUGGCGGAGCAGGAACCUGGGGAGGCCAUGGCGGGGCAGGAGACUGGGGAGGUCAUGGUGGGGCAGGAGACUGGGGAGGCCAUGGUGGGGCAGGAGACUGGGGAGGCCAUGGUGGGGCAGGAGACUGGGGAGGCCAUGGCGGGGCAGGAGACUCUGGAGGCCAUGGCGGGGCAGGAGACUGGGGAGGUCAUGGCGGGGCAGGAGACUCUGGAGGCCAUGGCGGAGCAGGAGACUGGGGAGGCCAUGGCGGGGCAGGAGACUGGGCAGGAGACUGGGGAGGCCAUGGCGGGGCAGGAGACUCGGGAGGCCAUGGUGGGGCAGGAGACUCGGGAGGGCAUGGUGGGGCAGGAGACUGGGGAGGCCAUGGCGGGGCAGGAGACUGGGCAGGAGACUGGGGAGGCCAUGGUGGGGCAGGAGACUGGGCAGGAGACUGGGGAGGCCAUGGUGGGGCAGGAGACUCGGGAGGGCAUGUUGGGGCUGGAGACUGGGGAGGUCAUGGUGGGGCAGGAGACUGGGGAGGCCAUGGCGGGGCAGGAGACUGGGCAGGAGACUGGGGAGGCCAUGGUGGGGCAGGAGACUGGGGAGGCCAUGGUGGGGCAGGAGACUGGGGAGGCCAUGGCGGGGCAGGAGACUGGGCAGGAGACUGGGGAGGCCAUGGUGGGGCAGGAGACUGGGGAGGCCAUGGCGGGGCAGGAGACUCUGGAGGCCAUGGCGGGGCAGGAGACUGGGGAGGUCAUGGUGGGGCAGGAGACUCUGGAGGCCAUGGCGGGGCAGGAGACUGGGGAGGCCAUGGCGGGGCAGGAGACUGGGGAGGCCAUGGCGGGGCAGGAGACUCUGGAGGCCAUGGCGGGGCAGGAGACUGGGGAGGCCAUGGCGGGGCAGGAGACUCUGGAGGCCAUGGUGGGGCAGGAGACUGGGGAGGUCAUGGUGGGGCAGGAGACUCUGGAGGCCAUGGCGGGGCAGGAGACUGGGGAGGCCAUGGCGGGGCAGGAGACUGGGGAGGCCAUGGCGGAGCAGGAGACUGGGGAGGCCAUGGCGGGGCAGGAGACUCUGGAGGCCAUGGCGGGGCAGGAGACUGGGGAGGUCAUGGUGGGGCAGGAGACUGGGGAGGCCAUGGUGGGGCAGGAGACUGGGGAGGCCAUGGCGGUGCAGGAGACUCUGGAGGCCAUGGCGGGGCAGGAGACUGGGGAGGUCAUGGUGGGGCAGGAGACUGGGGAGGCCAUGGCGGGGCAGGAGACUGGGGAGGUCAUGGUGGGGCAGGAGACUGGGGAGGCCAUGGCGGGGCAGGAGACUCUGGAGGCCAUGGCGGGGCAGGAGACUGGGGAGGUCAUGGCGGGGCAGGAGACUGGGGAGGCCAUGGCGGGGCAGGAGACUCUGGAGGCCAUGGCGGGGCAGGAGACUGGGGAGGUCAUGGUGGGGCAGGAGACUGGGGAGGCCAUGGCGGAGCAGGAGACUGGGGAGGCCAUGGCGGGGCAGGAGACUGGGCAGGAGACUGGGGAGGCCAUGGCGGGGCAGGAGACUCGGGAGGCCAUGGUGGGGCAGGAGACUCGGGAGGGCAUGGUGGGGCAGGAGACUGGGGAGGCCAUGGCGGGGCAGGAGACUGGGCAGGAGACUGGGGAGGCCAUGGUGGGGCAGGAGACUGGGCAGGAGACUGGGGAGGCCAUGGUGGGGCAGGAGACUCGGGAGGGCAUGGUGGGGCUGGAGACUGGGGAGGUCAUGGUGGGGCAGGAGACUGGGGAGGCCAUGGCGGGGCAGGAGACUGGGCAGGAGACUGGGGAGGCCAUGGUGGGGCAGGAGACUGGGGAGGCCAUGGCGGGGCAGGAGACUCUGGAGGCCAUGGCGGAGCAGGAGACUCUGGAGGCCAUGGCGGGGCAGGAGACUCAGGAGGCCAUGGUGGGGCAGGAGACUCGGGAGGGCAUGGUGGGGCAGGAGACUGUGGAGGCCAUGGCGGGGCAGGAGACUGGGCAGGAGACUGGGGAGGCCAUGGUGGGGCAGGAGACUGGGCAGGAGACUGGGGAGGCCGGUGGGGCAGGAGACUCGGGAGGGCAUGGUGGGGCAGGAGACUGGGGAGGCCAUGGCGGGGCAGGAGACUGGGGAGGCCAUGGCGGGGCAGGAGACUGGGGAGGCCAUGGCGGGGCAGGAGACUCUGGAGGCCAUGGCGGGGCAGGAGACUGGGGAGGCCAUGGCAGGGCAGGAGACUGGGCAGGAGACUGGGGAGGCCAUGGUGGGACGGAGACUCUGGAGGCCAUGGCGGGGCAGGAGACUCUGGAGGCCAUGGCGGGGCAGGAGACUCUGGAGGCCAUGGCGGAGCAGGAGACUGGUGAGGCCAUAGUGGGGCAGGAGACUGGGGAGGCCAUGGCGGAGCAGGAGACUGGGGAGGCCAUGGCGGGGCAGGAGACUCUGGAGGCCAUGGCGGGGCAGGAGACUGGGGAGGUCAUGGUGGGGCAGGAGACUGGGGAGGCCAUGGUGGGGCAGGAGACUGGGGAGGCCAUGGCGGGGCAGGAGACUCUGGAGGCCAUGGCGGGGCAGGAGACUGGGGAGGUCAUGGCGGGGCAGGAGACUGGGGAGGCCAUGGCGGGGCAGGAGACUCUGGAGGCCAUGGCGGGGCAGGAGACUGGGGAGGUCAUGGUGGGGCAGGAGACUGGGGAGGCCAUGGCGGGGCAGGAGACUCUGGAGGCCAUGGCAGAGCAGGAGACUGGGGAGGCCAUGGCGGGGCAGGAGACUGGGCAGGAGACUGGGGAGGCCAUGGCGGGGCAGGAGACUCGGGAGGCCAUGGUGGGGCAGGAGACUCGGGAGGGCAUGGUGGGGCAGGAGACUGGGGAGGCCAUGGCGGGGCAGGAGACUGGGCAGGAGACUGGGGAGGCCAUGGUGGGGCAGGAGACUGGGCAGGAGACUGGGGAGGCCAUGGUGGGGCAGGAGACUCGGGAGGGCAUGGUGGGGCUGGAGACUGGGGAGGUCAUGGUGGGGCAGGAGACUGGGGAGGCCAUGGCGGGGCAGGAGACUGGGCAGGAGACUGGGGAGGCCAUGGUGGGACAGGAGACUCUGGAGGCCAUGGCGGGGCAGGAGACUCUGGAGGCCAUGGUGGGGCAGGAGACUCUGGAGGCCAUGGCGGAGCAGGAGACUGGUGAGGCCAUGGUGGGGCAGGAGACUGGGGAGGCCAUGGCGGAGCAGGAGACUGGGGAGGCCAUGGCGGGGCAGGAGACUCUGGAGGCCAUGGCGGGGCAGGAGACUCUGGAGGCCAUGGCGGGGCAGGAGACUCUGGAGGCCAUGGCGGGGCAGGAGACUCUGGAGGCCAUGACGGGGCAGGAGACUGGGCAGGAGACUGGGGAGGCCAUGGUGGGGCAGGAGACUCGGGAGGCCAUGGUGGGGCAGGAGAUUAGGGAGGCCAUGGUGGGGCAGGAGAUUAGGGAGGCCAUGGUGGGGGAGGAGACUCUGGAGGUCAUGGCGGGCAGGAGACUGGGGAGGCCAUGGUGGGGCAGGAGACUGGGGAGGCCAUGGUGGGGCAGGAGACUCGGGAGGCCAUGGCGGGGCAGGAGACUGGGCAGGAGACUGGGGAGGCCAUGGCGGGGCAGGAGACUCGGGAGGCCAUUGCGGAGCAGGAGACUGGGCAGGAGACUGGGCAGGAGACUGGGGAGGCCAUGGCGGGGCAGGAGACUCGGGAGGGCAUGGUGGGGCAGGAGACUGGGGAGGCCAUGGCGGGGCAGGAGACUGGGGAGGAGACUGGGGAGGCCAUGGUGGGGCAGGAGACUCGGGAGGCCAUGGCGGGGCAGGAGACUGGGGAGGCCAUGGUGGGGCAGGAGACUCGGGAGGCCAUGGUGGGGCAGGAGACUGGGGAGGCCAUGGUGGGGCAGGAGACUCGGGAGGCCAUGGCGGGCAGGAGACUGGGCAGGAGACUGGGGAGGCCAUGGUGGGGCAGGAGACUGGGCAGGAGACUGGGGAGGCCAUGGCGGGGCAGGAGACUCGGGAGGCCAUUGCGGAGCAGGAGACUGGGCAGGAGACUGGGGAGGCCAUGGCGGGGCAGGAGACUCGGGAGGGCAUUACGGAGCAGGAGACUGGGGAGGAGACUGGGGAGGCCAUGGUGGGGCAGGAAACUCGGGAGGCCAUGGCGGGGCAGGAACUGGGGAGUCUGGGGACUCGGGAGGGCAUGGUGGGGCAGGAGACUCGGGAGGCCAUGGCGGGUCAGGAGACUCUGGAGGCCAUGGCGGGGCAGGAGACUUGGGAGGCCAUAGCCCCAGCUUCCGCCUCUAUGGCUGGAGACCUAAUAAGGUUUUGAAAACCUGGCAAUCCUGA